AUUGAACGCUGGCGGCAGGCUUAACACAUGCAAGUCGAGCGAGUGGCGGACGGGUGAGUAAGGUCUGGGAAACUGCCUGAUGGAGGGGGAUAACUACUGGAAACGGGAGCUAAUACCGCAUACCAUCAGAUGUGCCCAGAUGGGAUUAGCUAGUAGGUGGGGUAAUGGCUCAACUAGGCGACGAUCCCUAGCUGGUCUGAGAGGAUGAACAGCCACACUGGAACUGUGACACGGUCCAUACUCCUACGCGAGGCAGCAGUUGGGAAUAGUGCACUAUGGGCGCAAUCCUGAUGCAGCCAUGCCGCGUGUGUGAAGAAGGCCUUCGGUUUGUAAAGCACUUUCAGCGAGGAGGCGUUACUCGCAGAAGAAGCACCGGCUAACUCCGUGCCAGCAGCCGCGGUAAUUC
Molecule: ribosomal RNA, 406 nt
Filed under: uncultured bacterium
Lineage: Bacteria
Description: partial 16S ribosomal RNA
Rfam family: Bacterial small subunit ribosomal RNA
Source: RNAcentral